UGGAGCACACGGCUAGUCCCACAU
RNAcentral lists this non-coding RNA (24 nucleotides) under Rattus norvegicus (Norway rat). The record is from RNAcentral. Lineage: Eukaryota; Metazoa; Chordata; Mammalia; Rodentia; Muridae.